UCUCAGGGAACUAGAGCCCCAAGUGCCAGGUAAAGGAGGAGAGAUGGGUACCGUAAAAAGAGGGGAGCGCUUGUCAGUUAAGGAAGCCACCCAUCUUCAUGGCAUUUGAGCCAGUGUACAUCUUGCUGGCCAUGGUGCUAAAGGCAAGGCUAAAGUGCCAGGACCACCAUAUGGGAGAUCCUGGGAACACACUUCAAGAAAUACCAGUUAAGAAUGCAGCCCUGUGCACACAUAGGACCAACUUAUCAUCGUAGAACAAAAAUCUGGGCUAUUACAAUGUGAGAGGAACAGA
This is a long non-coding RNA of Mastomys coucha (southern multimammate mouse), 292 nucleotides long. RefSeq lists it as uncharacterized. Lineage: Eukaryota; Metazoa; Chordata; Mammalia; Rodentia; Muridae. The record is from RefSeq and is a predicted model, not a curated record. The transcript has 3 exons.